Molecule: ribosomal RNA, 675 nt
Filed under: uncultured cyanobacterium
Lineage: Bacteria; Bacillati; Cyanobacteriota
Description: bacterial SSU rRNA
Rfam family: Bacterial small subunit ribosomal RNA
Source: RNAcentral
CGAAAGCCUGACGGAGCAACGCCGCGUGAGGGAGGAAGGUCUUUGGAUUGUAAACCUCUUUUCUCAGGGAAGAAAAAAAUGACGGUACCUGAGGAACAAGCAUCGGCUAACUCCGUGCCAGCAGCCGCGGUAAUACGGAGGAUGCAAGCGUUAUCCGGAAUGAUUGGGCGUAAAGGGUCCGCAGGUGGCAUUGUAAGUCUGCUGUUAAAGAGUCACGCUCAACGUGAUCAAGGCGGUGGAAACUACAAAGCUAGAGUGUGGUCGGGGCAGAAGGAAUUCCUGGUGUAGCGGUGAAAUGCGUAGAUAUCAGGAAGAACACCGGUGGCGAAGGCGUUCUGCUAGGCCAAGACUGACACUGAGGGACGAAAGCUAGGGGAGCGAAUGGGAUUAGAUACCCCAGUAGUCCUAGCCGUAAACGAUGGAUACUAGGUGUAGCUCGUAUCGACCCGAGCUGUACCGUAGCUAACGCGUUAAGUAUCCCGCCUGGGGAGUACGCAGGCAACUGUGAAACUCAAAGGAAUUGACGGGGGCCCGCACAAGCGGUGGAGUAUGUGGUUUAAUUCGAUGCAACGCGAAGAACCUUACCAAGACUUGACAUGUCACGAAUCCCGGCGAAAGUUGGGAGUGCCUUAGGGAGCGUGAACACAGGUGGUGCAUGGCUGUCGUCAGCUCGUG